RNAcentral lists this transfer RNA (82 nucleotides) under Pseudomonadota bacterium. Its description in RNAcentral is "tRNA-Leu". It matches the Rfam family "tRNA". From Rfam's summary of the family: Transfer RNA (tRNA) molecules are approximately 80 nucleotides in length. Lineage: Bacteria; Pseudomonadati; Pseudomonadota. RNAcentral also lists the same sequence under 2 other names. The record is from RNAcentral.
GCGCGGGUGGUGAAAUUGGUAUACACGCAGUCUUGAGGAGGCUGUGCCUUCGGGCGUGCAGGUUCAAGUCCUGUCCCGCGCA